UAGAACUUGCAUGAAAGCUAUUAAUAUGCUUAUCCUAUAUUUUUAACAGAAAAAUGAAGUCAGCAAGGAAUACUUCUUAAAAACUGUAAGGAAUAUUGUUGGUGAUAAAUUGCUUAAGCAAGCUGCUUCACAAUAUCAAAUGCAGGCACAACGAAGCCCUCAGAUAAACCCAAGCAACUAUUCUUUAUCUGGUCAAGUUUCUGGUCAGCAGACUGCUCCCAAUGGUUCUGUGACAGGAGAUGAACAGAAGGGAUAUCCAGGGGCGCACACCAUCCCUAUGAGACAAGCUAUUGCCAGCACUCGACCACCUCAAUUUCGGCCUUCCUCGUCUGGCCAAAUGGGGAGUAAUACGGCAUCACGUGCAGCGACCACAAACAUCUUCACCAGUGUUUGGGGCAAAUAGUAUUCAUGCACGUCCAUUUCCGCGAC
Zea mays is the source of this 429-nucleotide long non-coding RNA. RefSeq lists it as uncharacterized. The transcript has 3 exons. NCBI's taxonomy places the organism in Eukaryota, Viridiplantae, Streptophyta, Magnoliopsida, Poales, Poaceae. The record is from RefSeq and is a predicted model, not a curated record.